This 468-nucleotide ribosomal RNA is filed under the name uncultured bacterium. RNAcentral describes it as "partial 16S ribosomal RNA". It matches the Rfam family "Bacterial small subunit ribosomal RNA", at positions 28 to 507 of the family's 1533-position model. The record is from RNAcentral.
GACGAACGCUGGCGGCGUGCUUAACACAUGCGAGUCGAACGGAAAGGCCCUGCUUUUGUGGGGUGCUCGAGUGGCGAACGGGUGAGUAACACGUGAGUAACCUGCCCUUGACUUUGGGAUAACUUCAGGAAACUGGGGCUAAUACCGGAUAGGAGCUCCUGCUGCAUGGUGGGGGUUGGAAAGUUUCGGCGGUAGGGGAUGGACUCGCGGCUUAUCAGCUUGUUGGUGGGGUAGUGGCUUACCAAGGCUUUGACGGGUAGCCGGCCUGAGAGGGUGACCGGCCACAUUGGGACUGAGAUACGGCCCAGACUCCUACGGGAGGCAGCAGUGGGGAAUAUUGCACAAUGGGCGGAAGCCUGAUGCAGCAACGCCGCGUGCGGGAUGACGGCCUUCGGGUUGUAAACCGCUUUCGCCUGUGACGAAGCGUGAGUGACGGUAAUGGGUAAAGAAGCACCGGCUAACUACGUG